CCAUGAGAGUAUUAGUGGCAGACGGGUGAGUAUGCAUAGGAAUCUACCUAGUAGUAUAGGAUAGCCACUAGAAGUGGUGGGUAAUACUGUAUAAUCCCUGCGGGGGAAAGAUUUAUCGCUACAUGAUGAGCCUAUGUUAGAUUAGCUAGUUGGUGGGGUAAUGGCCUACCAAGGCAAUGAUCUAUAGCUGGUCUGAGAGGAUGAUCAGCCACACUGGAACUGAGACACGGUCCAGACUCCUACGGGAGGCAGCAGUGGGGAAUAUUGGACAAUGGGCGCAAGCCUGAUCCAGCUAUGCCGCGUGAGUGAGGAAGGCCUUAGGGUUGUAAAACUCUUUCAGUAGGGAAGAUAAUGACGGUACCUAUAA
This 367-nucleotide ribosomal RNA is filed under the name Anaplasma phagocytophilum. RNAcentral describes it as "bacterial SSU rRNA". It matches the Rfam family "Bacterial small subunit ribosomal RNA", at positions 80 to 484 of the family's 1533-position model. Lineage: Bacteria; Pseudomonadati; Pseudomonadota; Alphaproteobacteria; Rickettsiales; Anaplasmataceae. The record is from RNAcentral.